Long non-coding RNA from Mauremys reevesii (Reeves's turtle), 2386 nucleotides. RefSeq lists it as uncharacterized. NCBI's taxonomy places the organism in Eukaryota, Metazoa, Chordata, Testudines, Geoemydidae. The transcript is spliced from 3 exons. The record is from RefSeq and is a predicted model, not a curated record.
UGUUUUGUCUUCUGGGCCUAUGGCUUGUUUGUAUUGCCACUUCUCUGGCACGAAGGGCCACUUCAUUUCCUUUGCCUCUUCAAUAAGGGUCCUUAGAUCAUCAGGGAGCGAAGCUGAAAAGGUCAAAGUGCAGCUGAAACUGCAUCACCCAUACAGAAAAUCCAUGGACCAAAUCUUCAUCUGCUAUACAGUAGGGCUGGCGGAGAGUGAAGGCACGGAAAGGUGGCUCAGUGGACUGGACAGAAGGGAUGACAGCUAUGCAGCAUACUCACCUCUUCCCUGUGCCAACAGCAACUCUCUGAUAACAAUUGUGGUAACACAUAAAUAGGAUUGAGGGAAACUUGGCUGACCACAAAGAGGCCAGAACUAAGAUCCUGCCUUUUUAUGUACAGUAGCCUUAAUAAACGAAGAGGAAGUUUCCCCUGGCCGAGGAGCAUGCUGGAGCCUGCCUGGAGACACUGCGUCCCAGAAGGUGCCACUCUGGUGUGUUUCCGGGCUGUCCCAUGUGGCUGACAACUCCAGCAGAGGAGCUUCUCCCAGCUUCCCCUUCAGCCCAGAGCAGCAACAGCAGCAGAAGAAGAAAGAGGUCAGGCAGGCAACCAAGCAAUACCUGCAGAGAUGCCAGAGUCAACUUUUCUGCCAGAGUGACUUAUUUGACUGUCUACACUGGGCGGGGGGGGGGGGGCAAUCUAAGGUAUGCAACUUCAGCUACGAGAAUAGCAUAGCUGAAGUCAACGUAUCUUAGAUUGACUUAGAAUCGCUUACUUUGCAUCCUCGCGGCACGGGAUUGACGGCCGCCACUCCCCCGUCGACUCCGCUUCCGCCUCUCACCCUGGUGGAGUUCCAGAGUCAACGGGGAGCGCAUUCGGGGAUCGAUGUAUCGCGUCUAGAAGAGACGCGCUACAUUGAUCCCCGAUAGAUCAAUCACUACCCGCCGAUCCGACCCUCAGACAUUUGCAGUUAAUGGAUUUAACAGUUGCUGAUAUUGACUUGCUGCACCCCACCGCUUGCAACUUCCCAACGUUGCCAUUCUCUCCCUUUCUUCUUCCUCAUCUCUCCCCUCCACAAUAAAAAAAAAGCACACUGAAUUAAAUAAUACCAACAUUUAGAGGACAGUAACAGCAUCAAGCAUUACAAAAGUAAUAAGUAAUGUGGUUUGGGACACUCGCAGGCAAGCUCCCUAAGACCAUAACUGUAUUACUGUUACUCUCAACUCCAAUGAAAUUUAAAUUUGCGUUCAACAUUUUAUUUCAAUUAGGCCCUGAUCCCGCAGGUGGACUCUGUUCCCAUUUGGAUGCAAUAAAACGCGAAGGACAGAAUAUGGCCUAAUUCUUUCCUAUUAUCUUAACCAAAUGUCCUUAAUGCUGCGUUAGUUAAAAAAGAAUUUAGGAUAAAAUUUCCAAAAGCACUUAAGUCACUUUAGUGUCAUGAGCACUUAGGCCAAGAUCCUUAAAGGUACUUAGGUGCCUUACUCCCAUUGAAAUCAAUGGGAAUUUUCAAUGGGAGUAAGAGGCCUAAGUACCUUUAGAAUCUGGGCCUUAUGAACCUGUCUCAUUGAAAGUCAAUGAGUCUUUUAGGUUGUCUUUGAGAGCAGGUCUUCUUAAGCAUUUGUAAUGUGCCCAGUACAAUGGGGCCUCCAAUCCUUACUGGAGCCUCUGGAUGUGACGGCAAUAAAUACAAUUAUUGUAUUGUGUUGCAUUGUAUCAUCAUCUAUGGAACCACAAAAUAUUGCAGUGGCAACUAUAAAUAAUUCUGCAUUCUUCAGCCAAAAUCCAAGCACCAGCGAUUUUAUGGCAUGGCUGUGUUAUCACUGUAAGCGAUGUAAAUUCACAGCUAAUUAGAGGGGCUGAAGAAGGAGAUGAAACUACACUGAAGCUGAUUUGUAGGAUUUAUAAACAAAACAAAAAACCUUAAGUAAGGUAUGGUGAGGAUUCUUUUUUUCCCCGAUUUGUGUAUGUUUGGUUUUCAGUUGUUCCUAUGUUUGGUCUGAAAAACCAGUUUGACAAAGGCAACGUCUGGGGGAGGGGAGAGAAGAAAAACCCUCAGCGUUUGUGUUCAGAGAAUCCCCUUGGCUCAAACUGCUGCCAUAAGUGACCCUGUACUAAUGCCAUUCUGUUGGAAGCACAUGUGGGCUGGAUGAAUCAGUUAUAUCACAAUCUGAUUGUUACUGCUGUUUAAAAGCCACCUGCCAUAGGAAAGGGGAUCUGCAGCCUGAAAUCAUCCAGCCAACCUACAGUCUGUGCCCUCCAGUAGAAUACACACACAGACAGCAACUAUGAUUAGGUAUUAAUAUUAUUAUCACUGCCCCAUUGCAAGUGGAUUUUCUUCUUUUAGCCAGCCCAUGGCAGCCGUUCCUAAGAAAAGCCUGAACCUCACUUCAGUCUCU